RNAcentral lists this transfer RNA (74 nucleotides) under Mycoplasmopsis californica. Its description in RNAcentral is "tRNA-Thr (CGT) (tRNA-Thr-CGT-1-1)". It matches the Rfam family "tRNA". Rfam says of the family: Transfer RNA (tRNA) molecules are approximately 80 nucleotides in length. Their secondary structure includes four short double-helical elements and three loops (D, anti-codon, and T loops). RNAcentral also lists the same sequence under 3 other names. The record is from RNAcentral. Lineage: Bacteria; Bacillati; Mycoplasmatota; Mycoplasmoidales; Metamycoplasmataceae.
GCCGAUUUCGCUUAGUGGUAAAGCAGCUGACUCGUAAUCAGUAGCCACGAGUUCGAUUCUCGUAAUCGGCACCA